UAGGGAAUCUUCCACAAUGGACGCAAGUCUGAUGGAGCAACGCCGCGUGAGUGAAGAAGGGCUUCGGCUCGUAAAGCUCUGUUGUUAAAGAAGAACGUGGGUAAGAGUAACUGUUUACCCAGUGACGGUAUUUAACCAGAAAGCCACGGCUAACUACGUGCCAA
Molecule: ribosomal RNA, 164 nt
Filed under: uncultured bacterium
Lineage: Bacteria
Description: partial 16S ribosomal RNA
Rfam family: Bacterial small subunit ribosomal RNA
Source: RNAcentral